CAAGAUGGACCGCUGCUUCCUGGAGCUGAUGCUGGAGGGUGAGGAGGCCUACACCACCUACCUGCGUGUGAUUGAGAACGCCAACGUCAUCAUGGCCACCUACCAGGAUGAGGCCAUGGGCGACAUCCAGGUCUACCCCGACAAGUCGACCGUGUCCUUCUCCGCCGGUCUGCACGGCUGGGCUUUCACCCUGACCACCUUCGCGCGCAUGUACGCGUCGAAGUUCGGCACUGAUGAGGCCCGCAUGAUCACCAAGCUGUGGGGCGACAACUUCUUCGACCCCGCCACCAAGAAGUGGACCACCAAGCAGACCGACUCGCCCAGCUGCAAGCGCGGCUUCGUGCAGUUCAUCUACGAGCCCAUCAAGCAGAUCAUCGAGCUGGCCAUGAAGGACGCCAAGGACAAGCUGUGGCCCAUGCUGGAGAAG
Molecule: long non-coding RNA, 427 nt
Filed under: Chlamydomonas reinhardtii
Lineage: Eukaryota; Viridiplantae; Chlorophyta; Chlorophyceae; Chlamydomonadales; Chlamydomonadaceae
Description: long non-coding RNA (CREI_LNC000997)
Source: RNAcentral